This 2791-nucleotide ribosomal RNA is filed under the name Escherichia coli. Its description in RNAcentral is "bacterial LSU rRNA". It matches the Rfam family "Bacterial large subunit ribosomal RNA". The record is from RNAcentral. Lineage: Bacteria; Pseudomonadati; Pseudomonadota; Gammaproteobacteria; Enterobacterales; Enterobacteriaceae.
UUAAGCGACUAAGCGUACACGGUGGAUGCCCUGGCAGUCAGAGGCGAUGAAGGACGUGCUAAUCUGCGAUAAGCGUCGGUAAGGUGAUAUGAACCGUUAUAACCGGCGAUUUCCGAAUGGGGAAACCCAGUGUGAUUCGUCACACUAUCAUUAACUGAAUCCAUAGGUUAAUGAGGCGAACCGGGGGAACUGAAACAUCUAAGUACCCCGAGGAAAAGAAAUCAACCGAGAUUCCCCCAGUAGCGGCGAGCGAACGGGGAGCAGCCCAGAGCCUGAAUCAGUGUGUGUGUUAGUGGAAGCGUCUGGAAAGGCGCGCGAUACAGGGUGACAGCCCCGUACACAAAAAUGCACAUACUGUGAGCUCGAUGAGUAGGGCGGGACACGUGGUAUCCUGUCUGAAUAUGGGGGGACCAUCCUCCAAGGCUAAAUACUCCUGACUGACCGAUAGUGAACCAGUACCGUGAGGGAAAGGCGAAAAGAACCCCGGCGAGGGGAGUGAAAAAGAACCUGAAACCGUGUACGUACAAGCAGUGGGAGCACGCUUAGGCGUGUGACUGCGUACCUUUUGUAUAAUGGGUCAGCGACUUAUAUUCUGUAGCAAGGUUAACCGAAUAGGGGAGCCGAAGGGAAACCGAGUCUUAACUGGGCGUUAAGUUGCAGGGUAUAGACCCGAAACCCGGUGAUCUAGCCAUGGGCAGGUUGAAGGUUGGGUAACACUAACUGGAGGACCGAACCGACUAAUGUUGAAAAAUUAGCGGAUGACUUGUGGCUGGGGGUGAAAGGCCAAUCAAACCGGGAGAUAGCUGGUUCUCCCCGAAAGCUAUUUAGGUAGCGCCUCGUGAAUUCAUCUCCGGGGGUAGAGCACUGUUUCGGCAAGGGGGUCAUCCCGACUUACCAACCCGAUGCAAACUGCGAAUACCGGAGAAUGUUAUCACGGGAGACACACGGCGGGUGCUAACGUCCGUCGUGAAGAGGGAAACAACCCAGACCGCCAGCUAAGGUCCCAAAGUCAUGGUUAAGUGGGAAACGAUGUGGGAAGGCCCAGACAGCCAGGAUGUUGGCUUAGAAGCAGCCAUCAUUUAAAGAAAGCGUAAUAGCUCACUGGUCGAGUCGGCCUGCGCGGAAGAUGUAACGGGGCUAAACCAUGCACCGAAGCUGCGGCAGCGACGCUGAUGCGUUGUUGGGUAGGGGAGCGUUCUGUAAGCCUGCGAAGGUGUGCUGUGAGGCAUGCUGGAGGUAUCAGAAGUGCGAAUGCUGACAUAAGUAACGAUAAAGCGGGUGAAAAGCCCGCUCGCCGGAAGACCAAGGGUUCCUGUCCAACGUUAAUCGGGGCAGGGUGAGUCGACCCCUAAGGCGAGGCCGAAAGGCGUAGUCGAUGGGAAACAGGUUAAUAUUCCUGUACUUGGUGUUACUGCGAAGGGGGGACGGAGAAGGCUAUGUUGGCCGGGCGACGGUUGUCCCGGUUUAAGCGUGUAGGCUGGUUUUCCAGGCAAAUCCGGAAAAUCAAGGCUGAGGCGUGAUGACGAGGCACUACGGUGCUGAAGCAACAAAUGCCCUGCUUCCAGGAAAAGCCUCUAAGCAUCAGGUAACAUCAAAUCGUACCCCAAACCGACACAGGUGGUCAGGUAGAGAAUACCAAGGCGCUUGAGAGAACUCGGGUGAAGGAACUAGGCAAAAUGGUGCCGUAACUUCGGGAGAAGGCACGCUGAUAUGUAGGUGAAGUCCCUCGCGGAUGGAGCUGAAAUCAGUCGAAGAUACCAGCUGGCUGCAACUGUUUAUUAAAAACACAGCACUGUGCAAACACGAAAGUGGACGUAUACGGUGUGACGCCUGCCCGGUGCCGGAAGGUUAAUUGAUGGGGUCAGCGCAAGCGAAGCUCUUGAUCGAAGCCCCGGUAAACGGCGGCCGUAACUAUAACGGUCCUAAGGUAGCGAAAUUCCUUGUCGGGUAAGUUCCGACCUGCACGAAUGGCGUAAUGAUGGCCAGGCUGUCUCCACCCGAGACUCAGUGAAAUUGAACUCGCUGUGAAGAUGCAGUGUACCCGCGGCAAGACGGAAAGACCCCGUGAACCUUUACUAUAGCUUGACACUGAACAUUGAGCCUUGAUGUGUAGGAUAGGUGGGAGGCUUUGAAGUGUGGACGCCAGUCUGCAUGGAGCCGGCCUUGAAAUACCACCCUUUAAUGUUUGAUGUUCUAACGUUGACCCGUAAUCCGGGUUGCGGACAGUGUCUGGUGGGUAGUUUGACUGGGGCGGUCUCCUCCUAAAGAGUAACGGAGGAGCACGAAGGUUGGCUAAUCCUGGUCGGACAUCAGGAGGUUAGUGCAAUGGCAUAAGCCAGCUUGACUGCGAGCGUGACGGCGCGAGCAGGUGCGAAAGCAGGUCAUAGUGAUCCGGUGGUUCUGAAUGGAAGGGCCAUCGCUCAACGGAUAAAAGGUACUCCGGGGAUAACAGGCUGAUACCGCCCAAGAGUUCAUAUCGACGGCGGUGUUUGGCACCUCGAUGUCGGCUCAUCACAUCCUGGGGCUGAAGUAGGUCCCAAGGGUAUGGCUGUUCGCCAUUUAAAGUGGUACGCGAGCUGGGUUUAGAACGUCGUGAGACAGUUCGGUCCCUAUCUGCCGUGGGCGCUGGAGAACUGAGGGGGGCUGCUCCUAGUACGAGAGGACCGGAGUGGACGCAUCACUGGUGUUCGGGUUGUCAUGCCAAUGGCACUGCCCGGUAGCUAAAUGCGGAAGAGAUAAGUGCUGAAAGCAUCUAAGCACGAAACUUGCCCCGAGAUGAGUUCUCCCUGAC